This 384-nucleotide ribosomal RNA is filed under the name uncultured bacterium. Its description in RNAcentral is "bacterial SSU rRNA". It matches the Rfam family "Bacterial small subunit ribosomal RNA", at positions 524 to 906 of the family's 1533-position model. The record is from RNAcentral.
UACGAAGGGUGCAAGCGUUAAUCGGAAUUACUGGGCGUAAAGGGUGCGUAGGCGGUUUGUUAAGUCUGUUGUGAAAUCCCCGGGCUCAACCUGGGAAUGGCAAUGGAUACUGGCAGGCUAGAGUGUGUCAGAGGAUGGUGGAAUUUCCGGUGUAGCGGUGAAAUGCGUAGAGAUCGGAAGGAACAUCAGUGGCGAAGGCGGCCAUCUGGGACAACACUGACGCUGAAGCACGAAAGCGUGGGGAGCAAACAGGAUUAGAUACCCUGGUAGUCCACGCCCUAAACGAUGCGAACUGGAUGUUGGUCUCAACUCGGAGAUCAGUGUCGAAGCUAACGCGUUAAGUUCGCCGCCUGGGGAGUACGGUCGCAAGACUGAAACUCAAAG